UACAGAGGGGGCAAGCGUUGUUCGGAAUUACUGGGCGUAAAGGGCGCGUAGGCGGCCUGUUAAGUCGAACGUGAAAUCCCCGGGCUCAACCCGGGAACUGCGUCCGAUACUGGCAGGCUUGAAUCCGGGAGAGGGAUGCGGAAUUCCAGGUGUAGCGGUGAAAUGCGUAGAUAUCUGGAGGAACACCGGUGGCGAAGGCGGCAUCCUGGACCGGCAUUGACGCUGAGGCGCGGAAAGCCAGGGGAAGCAAAGCGGGG
This 257-nucleotide ribosomal RNA is filed under the name uncultured bacterium. Its description in RNAcentral is "partial 16S ribosomal RNA". It matches the Rfam family "Bacterial small subunit ribosomal RNA", at positions 524 to 778 of the family's 1533-position model. The record is from RNAcentral.